This 1614-nucleotide ribosomal RNA is filed under the name Salmonella enterica. RNAcentral describes it as "bacterial LSU rRNA". It matches the Rfam family "Bacterial large subunit ribosomal RNA", at positions 1271 to 2863 of the family's 2925-position model. The record is from RNAcentral. Lineage: Bacteria; Pseudomonadati; Pseudomonadota; Gammaproteobacteria; Enterobacterales; Enterobacteriaceae.
UGCUGGAGGUAUCAGAAGUGCGAAUGCUGACAUAAGUAACGAUAAAGCGGGUGAAAAGCCCGCUCGCCGGAAGACCAAGGGUUCCUGUCCAACGUUAAUCGGGGCAGGGUGAGUCGACCCCUAAGGCGAGGCCGAAAGGCGUAGUCGAUGGGAAACGGGUUAAUAUUCCCGUACUUGGUGUUACUGCGAAGGGGGGACGGAGAAGGCUAUGUUGGCCGGGCGACGGUUGUCCCGGUUUAAGCGUGUAGGUGUGUGUUCCAGGUAAAUCCGGUUCACUUUAACACUGAGGCGUGACGACGAGGCACUACGGUGCUGAAGCAACAAAUGCCCUGCUUCCAGGAAAAGCCUCUAAGCAUCAGGUAACAUCAAAUCGUACCCCAAACCGACACAGGUGGUCAGGUAGAGAAUACCAAGGCGCUUGAGAGAACUCGGGUGAAGGAACUAGGCAAAAUGGUGCCGUAACUUCGGGAGAAGGCACGCUGACACGUAGGUGAAGUGAUUUACUCAUGGAGCUGAAGUCAGUCGAAGAUACCAGCUGGCUGCAACUGUUUAUUAAAAACACAGCACUGUGCAAACACGAAAGUGGACGUAUACGGUGUGACGCCUGCCCGGUGCCGGAAGGUUAAUUGAUGGGGUCAGCGCAAGCGAAGCUCCUGAUCGAAGCCCCGGUAAACGGCGGCCGUAACUAUAACGGUCCUAAGGUAGCGAAAUUCCUUGUCGGGUAAGUUCCGACCUGCACGAAUGGCGUAAUGAUGGCCAGGCUGUCUCCACCCGAGACUCAGUGAAAUUGAACUCGCUGUGAAGAUGCAGUGUACCCGCGGCAAGACGGAAAGACCCCGUGAACCUUUACUAUAGCUUGACACUGAACAUUGAGCCUUGAUGUGUAGGAUAGGUGGGAGGCUUUGAAGUGUGGACGCCAGUCUGCAUGGAGCCGACCUUGAAAUACCACCCUUUAAUGUUUGAUGUUCUAACGUGGACCCGUUACCCGGGUUGCGGACAGUGUCUGGUGGGUAGUUUGACUGGGGCGGUCUCCUCCUAAAGAGUAACGGAGGAGCACGAAGGUUGGCUAAUCCUGGUCGGACAUCAGGAGGUUAGUGCAAUGGCAUAAGCCAGCUUGACUGCGAGCGUGACGGCGCGAGCAGGUGCGAAAGCAGGUCAUAGUGAUCCGGUGGUUCUGAAUGGAAGGGCCAUCGCUCAACGGAUAAAAGGUACUCCGGGGAUAACAGGCUGAUACCGCCCAAGAGUUCAUAUCGACGGCGGUGUUUGGCACCUCGAUGUCGGCUCAUCACAUCCUGGGGCUGAAGUAGGUCCCAAGGGUAUGGCUGUUCGCCAUUUAAAGUGGUACGCGAGCUGGGUUUAGAACGUCGUGAGACAGUUCGGUCCCUAUCUGCCGUGGGCGCUGGAGAACUGAGGGGGGCUGCUCCUAGUACGAGAGGACCGGAGUGGACGCAUCACUGGUGUUCGGGUUGUCAUGCCAAUGGCACUGCCCGGUAGCUAAAUGCGGAAGAGAUAAGUGCUGAAAGCAUCUAAGCACGAAACUUGCCCCGAGAUGAGUUCUCCCUGAGACUUAGAGUCUCCUGAAGGAACGUUGAAGACGACGACGUUGAUAGGCCG